GCCGGGCGCGGUGGCGCAUGCCUAUAGUCCCAGCUACUCGGGAGGCUGAGGUGGGAGGAUCGCUUGAGUCCAGGAGUUUUGGGCUGCAGUGCGCUAUGCCAAUCGGGUAUCCACACUAAGUUCAGCAUCAAUAUGGUGACCUCCUGGGAGUGGGGGACCGCCAGGUUGCCUAAGGAGGGGUGAACCUGCCCAGGUCGGAAACGGAGCAGGUCAAAACUCUCAUGCUGACCAAUGGUCCCCAGCCUGGUCCGGGAAGGUCCUGGCCUCCCAGCUUCGCAUGCCUGGUCCAGUCUCU
This 295-nucleotide signal recognition particle RNA is filed under the name Chinchilla lanigera (long-tailed chinchilla). RNAcentral's name for it is "Metazoan signal recognition particle RNA (ENSCLAG00000021457.1)". It matches the Rfam family "Metazoan signal recognition particle RNA". From Rfam's summary of the family: The signal recognition particle (SRP) is a universally conserved ribonucleoprotein. It is involved in the co-translational targeting of proteins to membranes. Lineage: Eukaryota; Metazoa; Chordata; Mammalia; Rodentia; Chinchillidae. The record is from RNAcentral.